AACUAAUUUAUGAUGAUUUCAUAGUUCAUCUGAGUACUAUGAUGUAUAGCUAUUAUUGUCUUUCGCUCCUAUCUGAUAUUAAAA
Molecule: non-coding RNA, 84 nt
Organism: Bombyx mori (domestic silkworm)
Lineage: Eukaryota; Metazoa; Arthropoda; Insecta; Lepidoptera; Bombycidae
Source: Rfam